CAGCACCUCAAGUGGUCAGGAUGAUUAUUGGGCCUAAAGCAUCCGUAGCCGGCGCUGUAAGUUUUCGGUUAAAUCUGUACGCUCAACGUACAGGCUGCCGGGAAUACUGCAGCGCUAGGGAGUGGGAGAGGUAGACGGUACUCGGUAGGAAGGGGUAAAAUCCUUUGAUCUAUUGAUGACCACCUGUGGCGAAGGCGGUCUACCAGAACACGUCCGACGGUGAGGGAUGAAAGCUAGGGGAGCGAACCGGAUUAGAGACCCGAGUAGUCC
Molecule: ribosomal RNA, 270 nt
Filed under: uncultured archaeon
Lineage: Archaea
Description: partial 16S ribosomal RNA
Rfam family: Archaeal small subunit ribosomal RNA
Source: RNAcentral